RNAcentral lists this signal recognition particle RNA (295 nucleotides) under Carlito syrichta (Philippine tarsier). Its description in RNAcentral is "Metazoan signal recognition particle RNA (ENSTSYG00000033652.1)". It matches the Rfam family "Metazoan signal recognition particle RNA". Rfam says of the family: The signal recognition particle (SRP) is a universally conserved ribonucleoprotein. It is involved in the co-translational targeting of proteins to membranes. The record is from RNAcentral. Lineage: Eukaryota; Metazoa; Chordata; Mammalia; Primates; Tarsiidae.
GCUGGGCAUGGUGGCAUGCACUGUAGUCCCAGCUACUCAGUAGGCCGAGGCUGGAGGAGCACUUGAGGCCAAGCGUUCUGAGCUGUAGUGCCUCUGCCCAUGUGGUGUCCUCACUAAGUUCAGCAACAGCAUGGUGAUCUCCUGGGAGGGGACUUCUGAGUUUGCCUAAAAAGGGGUAAACUGGCCCAGAUCAGAAAUGGAGCAGGUCAAAACUCCUGUGCUGAAUGCUAGUGGGAUUGUGCCUGUGAAUAGCCACUGCACUCUAAUCUGGGCAACAUAGCAAGACCCUACCUCU